UUUAAUUAAUAAGAAUUGGCUGUAACCAUGUAUUUGGGUAAGAUCUAGAAUAUUCAUUAACCUGGGAGGUAAUAUGUCUGAUACUUUUGAGACUGGUAGAAGUAUUUUAUGUGAUGAAUAAAAUUUUCAGUAAUCCUCAUCAUAUUUGACUUGGGUGUCUAGGUGGAGGCCUACAGCUGGGUUACUGCAAGGGAACUGUGUUGUUGGCUUCUGGGCAACCAGUGAGGUAAUAUAGAAGCUGUUUUGUGCUGACUUGGUAAAUCUAAGUAUUGGAAUGUCCACCAGCUUGGGUAUUGUCUGCCCCAUUCUUUGCAGUUCACCCUAAUUGAGUGACCUCGGUUGGCUCCCCUGGGACUCCUGGACUACUGUCAUCACUCACAUGGUGGCAGAAUCCUGCAUUGGUGUUGGAGGGGGUUCCCUUCACAGCUCCAUCCCUGUCCAUGACUCUCGUCUCCAGUGCCACAGACCUGGUGUGGGGAGCCCACCUGGGCUAUCUCAGCUUGCAAGGUUGUUGGUCGAGUCACGAUCGCUCCCUAUACAUCAAUGUCAGGGAGCUCAGAGCAGUUCGACCUGGCCUGUCAAGCCUUCCUACCUCACAUAAAAAGCAGGGUAGUCCAGGUCCUGACAGACAAUACUGCAGCUAUGUUCCGUAUCGACAGGCAAGGUGGGACCAGGUCAUCUGCCCUUUGCCAGGAAGCUCUCCAGCUCUGGAACUUCUGUGUACAACACGACAUCCAUCUCAUAGCUGCACACCUCCUUGGGGCCAGGAGUGCCUUGGCAGAUGGCCUCAACAGGAUCUUCUUGUCUCACCACGAAUGAUCCCUCUAUCAGGAGGUGACCAGCUUCAUCUUCCAGAAGUAGGGAACUCCCUGGGUGGACUUGUUUGCAUCCAGACAGAAAAAGAAUGCCAUGUUUCCUGCUUGAUUCGGGGGAUCGACAGAGGGUCCCUGUCAGAUGCUUUUCUGCUCCUGUUGUCGGGGGCUUUUUUAUACGCCUUCGCUCCGGUGCCGCUGAUUCUCAGAGUCCUCAUGAAAAUCAAGCAGGACAAGGUGAUGGUAAUAGUCAUAUCACUGGCCUGGCUGCGCCAGCACUGGUUCGGCAUGCUGCUGGACUUCUCGGUGCUUGCUGUGUUACGGCUGCCGCUCAGCCCAGACCUGCUGUCCCAAAACCAUGGUAGUCUUCUGCAUCUGAACCUGGCGGUGCUGCACCUGAUGGUGUGGCUGCUGCAUGGUUAAAUACAGAGGAGCAGUGUUUGAUCACUGUCCAGCAGGUCCAUCAAGGCAGCAGAAAGCCCUCCACCAGAGUGACGUACCUGGCCAAAUGGAAGCGGUUCACUUAUUGGACCUCGGAUGAAAGUAUUCAGCCGACCCAGACCUCGCUCCAUUUGAUCCUGGACUAUCUUCUGCAUCUCAAGCUCCAAGACCUGUCUCUUUCAUCUGUCAAGGUCCACUUGGCCGCUAUUUCGGCCUUCCGUCUGCCACUCGAGGGUAAGUCAGUUUUCCGCCCAGGACAUGACUGCCAGGUUCCUCAAUGGCCUCAAGUGCCUUUGCCUGAACAUCAGGGACCCCGUUCCACAAUGGGACCUGAACCUUGUGCUGUCACGGCUCAUGGGACACCCUCACCCCCCCUCCCCAAGCCUCUGCUUCCUGCUCUCUCCUUCUCCUGACCUGGAAGGUUGCAUUCUUAGUUCCAAUAAUGUCCGCCUGCUGGGUCUCCGAGAUUAGGUCACUUACCUCGGAACUGCCCUACACCGUCUUCUACAAAGACAAGGUCCAGCUGCAGCCACACCCAGCUUUCCUGCCCAAGGUGGUCUCGCAGUUUCAUAUGAGCCAGGACAUUUACUUAUCUUUCUUUUUUCCAAAGCUGCAUAAGUUGGAGGAGGAGCAUAGAUGCCUUCCUAGAUGUCAGGCGGGCGCUAGCCUUCUUCAUUGAAAGGACCAAGCCAUUCCGCAAGUUGACGCAAUUGUUCAUCACAGUGGCCAACAGGAUGAAAAGUCGUCCAGUGUCCACUAAAGAAUUUCUUCUUGGAUCACUCCCUGCAUUCGUAGCUGCUACAACCAGGCACUGGUGCCACCUCUGGCAAUUGUCACCACCCACUCAACCAGGGUGCAAGCCUUGUCAGCAGCUUUUCUAGCCCAAGUGCUUAUCCAGGACGUCUGUAGGGCAGCCACCUGGUCAUCCGUCCACAGGUUCAUGUCCCAUCAUGCACUUAACCAGCAGGCCCGGGAUGAUGCUGACUUCAGUAGAACAGUACUUCAAGCUGCUAACCUCAGAGGAUACUGCUUGUGAGUCACCUAGAAUGAAAUUGAUAUGAGCAAGCACUCAAAGAAGAAAAAUGGUUACCUUUUUGUAAGUGUUCUUCGAGAUUUGUUGCUCAUGUCCAUUCCAUUACCCGCGCUCCUACCCCUCUGUCGGAGGUUGCCAGCAAGAAGGAACUGAGAGGGUGUAGAGUCGGCAGCACCUAAUAUACCACUCGAGGGCGCUAUAGCUGACCCUACAGAUACCACUAAGGCAAAAAUCUCCGAUGACUGUGCACAUGGUCGCACACACACCUAGAAUGGAAUGGACAUGAGCAACACAUCUCGAAGAACAACAGUGACAAAAAGGUAGGUAACCGUUUUUCUUUUACUUUGAUGAUUUUCCCCUUGGUGUAACAGAAUGUGGCUACAGGUUUCUUCAAGUUUCACUUUGCUGCCUACAGAGUUCUAAUCCCUGGAAAGUAAGGGAAGACAGUAGUGGAAGAGAGUGAGGAAGGAGAAGAACAGAAAUGGAGAAGUUAACAGGUUAAAGACCAUAAAGAAGGGGAGUAGGAGUAAAAUAAAACAGCAUUUCAGGUUGCAUUACCCUUACUAUCUGACUGGGAAUAGCGGGGUUCUAGAGGCCUCACAUUCAACCCUUGAAGAUCACCAAGUGCUUCAUGCUAGGCUACAGCACCCACUCUGACUAACUACUGCUGAUGGCUUUAAAGAGAGUCCCAUUAGUCCACUGCUGAGAAGAAUGGUAACUGCAAGAUAGAAGGUGCCAGUAUUAAGAGGGAUAGCCAUGUUAGUCUGUAUCCACAAAAAUAACAAGGAGUCCAGUGGCACCUUAAAGACUAACAUUUAUUUGGGCAUAAGCUUUCCUGGUUUAAAAAAAAACACUUCUUCGGAAGUGGGGUUUUAUACCCACGAAAACGUAUGCCCAAUCUGGUAGUCUUUAAGGUGCUUGUUGUUUUUUUGACUCCUCAUUGUUUUUGCCAGGUAGAGAUUUUAUAUUUAUCCACAAAGAAGCAAAGCAAAUUGUGAGAGGGGAUGAUAGCGAGAGGAAUCAUCCCUUCUCUACCCUGGAUUAUAUUUUUACUUAGCUACCUGUGGAAAUGGCUUUUUCACAGAGUCCCAUCAAAGCUGUUCUGUUGUAACUGUCAUGGGGAAUCAUUUCCCUGGUGACUGUAGAAAAGUUAUCUGGGCUCUAAUCUAGUGCUCAUGUCUGUGAAGGAAAAUGGGUGUGGCAUGUGCUGCCUGUUUGGAGAGUCCCCAAUCUGUAAUGCUCGCCUCAGCUAGAAUAGUUCUUAUACUCACUUACUGGGGGAAAUAUUCAUAAAGUGUAAGGCAUAGAUAUAAUUAGAUGCUUGUCCUCAUCAAUAACAUGCAGGCAGACUGGCUCCAGCAGGCAUUUGUAUCAGUGACUGUGAGAACACAGUUCAGCUCUGCACUGGGAAUUCCUACUGCACUUACCAUCUGUACUGAGGUUUAUCUGUUUACUAAACUUCUAUCUUUGGUCCAGAAAGAAACUGACUCUUCCCUGAUAAACCAUCUCCACAGAAAGCAGCCCAGAUGGCACCCAGGGAAACCCUACUUUUGAGUUUCUGAGAGGCCAUCAUUUAUGAAAUGAACGAGAGAAGCCUUCCCAUAAAGAUCAUUGAUAAA
This is a long non-coding RNA of Dermochelys coriacea (leatherback sea turtle), 3905 nucleotides long. RefSeq lists it as uncharacterized. The transcript has 2 exons. The record is from RefSeq and is a predicted model, not a curated record. Lineage: Eukaryota; Metazoa; Chordata; Testudines; Dermochelyidae.